This 484-nucleotide ribosomal RNA is filed under the name uncultured bacterium. Its description in RNAcentral is "partial 16S ribosomal RNA". It matches the Rfam family "Bacterial small subunit ribosomal RNA", at positions 30 to 507 of the family's 1533-position model. The record is from RNAcentral.
AUUGAACGCUGGCGGUAGGCCUAACACAUGCAAGUCGAGCGGAAGAACGGGGCUUGCUCCUGGAUUCAGCGUCGGACGGGUGAGUAAUGCAUAGGAAUCUGCGUGGUGGUGGGGGGUAACGUCCGAAAGCGGGCGCUGAUACCGCAUACGUCCUGAGGGAGAAAGAGGGGGUUCUUCGGACCUCAUGCUAUCAGGUGAGCCUAGGUCGGAUUAGCUAGUUGGUGGGGUAAAGGCCUACCAAGGCGACGAUCCGUAUCUGGUCUGAGAGGAUGAUAAGUCACACUGGAACUGAGACACGGUCCAGGCUACUACGGGAGGCAGCAGUGGGGAAUAUUGGACAAUGGGCGAAAGCCUUACCCAGCCCGGCCGUGUGUGUGAAGAAGAUCUUCGGUUCGUAAAGCCCCUUUAGUAGGUAGAAAAGGCAGUAAGCUCACAACGUCAUAUUAUGACGGUACCCACAGAAUAAGCACCGGCUAACUACGUG